Molecule: ribosomal RNA, 292 nt
Filed under: uncultured bacterium
Lineage: Bacteria
Description: partial 16S ribosomal RNA
Rfam family: Bacterial small subunit ribosomal RNA
Source: RNAcentral
GUGUCAGCAGCCGCGGUAAGACGAACCACACGAACGUUAUUCGGAAUUACUGGGCUUAAAGGGUGCGUAGGCUGCGCGGACAGUUGGGUGUGAAAUCCCUCGGCUUAACCGAGGAACUGCGCCCAAAACUACCGUGCUCGAGGAAGAUAGAGGUGAGCGGAACUUACGGUGGAGCGGUGAAAUGCGUUGAUAUCGUAAGGAACACCUGUGGCGAAAGCGGCUCACUGGGUCUUUUCUGACGCUGAAGCACGAAAGCUAGGGGAGCAAACGGGAUUAGAUACCCUAGUAGUCC